GUCGGUACUUGAAGAAGCGGAGCCAGGGCUGAGAUCCCGAAGGCGGGCGAGGUCUGGGAUGGGGCGGGGCCUAUGGGAGCGGGGCUGAAGCCCUGGGCCCGGCAGAGGAAGGUCGAGAUGGACCAUGUUGGGCCCCUUCUCUCCCCGCCCCCAGGCCGCAGUUCGGGGGCCACGCCCCGGCGUGCUCGGGUCACCGCGGGAAGCCCUUGAACCCCCUGGCGCCCGGCACCCACGUGCGGUAACCGCGGCUCCUCGAGAGCUCCAGGGAUGCGGAUCUACAGUAAGGGCUGUGGCCAGAUGAAUGAAUGCACAUUUUUUAGUGGGCAGAAAGAUGUUAGAAUUCAUGAAUUAGAAUAAGCACAAAGGAGGGCGAGAGGGGAGGCCGUGGAAGCCGCAUUCCUCCCCUUGCCUUGGGCGCCCACCCCCGAAGGGGCGCGUCCCCUCCCUGCUCCACUGCACGUGGGUGUUUAACCAGGGGAUAUCCAGUGCCUCAAGCACCACGACCCGGGAGAAAACUGAGUUGAGAAGGCCUUGGGGAUGAAGGUGAGAAAUUCGAGAAUCCCCGGAGAUAACACAUCAGCAAAUAGUGCGCAGGCAGAACAAGCUGUUGGAGGUGAGAGACACAGAGCAGAGAAGCACCCGCACCUGGAGAGUCAGGAGGGCCUCACAUCAGAACGCCUGAGCAAAUACAGUUUUGAAGGAUACUAAUUUUUUAAAAAGUUCAUUCACAUGAGUUAGACAAAGAGAAAGAAGCAGGACAUUCUAGGAAGAAGGAACGGCCCAGGCAAAAGCGACGCGUACAUUGGCGUGGGUCCAUUCAAGAAUUGUGCCCACAAUAUACCAGGCACUUGUCCAGACCUGCAUCGUCCAAUGCCCACCUCGACCUCCCAAAGUGUUGGGAUUAGAGGCGUGAGCCACCGCGCCCUGCCUGCAUGUGGCUAUUGAGAUGUGCUGUAUGAUACACACCGGACUUUGAAGACUCAGUGUGAAAAAUAAAAAGAAUUUUAAGAGGGGUGGGGGUCGAGGGGAGGCAGAGCAGUAGGACAAAUAGCUAAUGCACGCAGGGCUUAAAACCUAGACAACAGGUUGAUGGGUGCAGCAAACCACCAUGACACAUGUUUAUCUAUAUAGCACCUACAUGUUCUGCACUUGUAUCCUGGAACUUAAAAUUAGAAAAAAAAAAUAAUAAAAGCCAACAUGGCAUUCAUUACUGCCAAAAAAAUUAAAA
This 1228-nucleotide long non-coding RNA is filed under the name Homo sapiens (human). RNAcentral describes it as "non-protein coding RNASEH1-AS1:19". The record is from RNAcentral. Lineage: Eukaryota; Metazoa; Chordata; Mammalia; Primates; Hominidae.